GGAGACGUGCCGGAGUGGUCGAACGGGGCGGUCUCGAAAACCGUUGAGCCUUCACGGGUUCCCAGGGUUCGAAUCCCUGCGUCUCCGCCA
Molecule: transfer RNA, 90 nt
Filed under: bacterium
Lineage: Bacteria
Also listed under: 3 other names
Description: tRNA-Ser
Rfam family: tRNA
About the family: Transfer RNA (tRNA) molecules are approximately 80 nucleotides in length. Their secondary structure includes four short double-helical elements and three loops (D, anti-codon, and T loops).
Source: RNAcentral